Molecule: ribosomal RNA, 444 nt
Filed under: uncultured Proteiniphilum sp.
Lineage: Bacteria; Pseudomonadati; Bacteroidota; Bacteroidia; Bacteroidales; Dysgonomonadaceae
Description: bacterial SSU rRNA
Rfam family: Bacterial small subunit ribosomal RNA
Source: RNAcentral
UUGUGGUUUAAUUCGAUGAUGCGCGAGGAACCUUACCCGGGCUUUGAAAUGCAUCUGACGUAGGCAGAGACGUCUAUUCCCUUCGGGGCAGAUGUGUAGGUGCUGCAUGGUUGUCGUCAGCUCGUGCCGUGAGGUGUCGGCUUAAGUGCCAUAACGAGCGCAACCCUCAUCAUUAGUUACCAACAGGUUAAGCUGGGGACUCUAGUGAGACUGCCAUCGUAAGAUGCGAGGAAGGUGGGGAUGACGUCAAAUCAGCACGGCCCUUACGUCCGGGGCGACACACGUGUUACAAUGGGUGGUACAAAGGGCAGCUACCUGGCGACAGGAUGCUAAUCUCCAAAACCACUCUCAGUUCGGAUCGGAGUCUGCAACUCGACUCCGUGAAGCUGGAUUCGCUAGUAAUCGCGCAUCAGCCAUGGCGCGGUGAAUACGUUCCCGGGCCUU